RNAcentral lists this ribosomal RNA (355 nucleotides) under Pezizomycetes sp. 11071. Its description in RNAcentral is "eukaryotic LSU rRNA". It matches the Rfam family "Eukaryotic large subunit ribosomal RNA", at positions 261 to 632 of the family's 3401-position model. Lineage: Eukaryota; Fungi; Ascomycota; Pezizomycetes. The record is from RNAcentral.
CGAGUCGAGUUGUUUGGGAAUGCAGCUCAAAAUGGGUGGUAAAUUUCAUCUAAAGCUAAAUAUUGGCGAGAGACCGAUAGCGCACAAGUAGAGUGAUCGAAAGAUGAAAAGCACUUUGAAAAGAGAGUUAAAAAGUACGUGAAAUUGUUGAAAGGGAAGCGCUUGCGACCAGACUCGAUCUUUGGUGAUCAGCCGGGCUUCUGUCCGGUGCCCUCGCCAUUGAUUGGGCCAGCAUCGGUUCUGACGGCGGGAUAAAAGGAGGAGGAAUGUGGCUCCCUUCGGGGAGUGUUAUAGCCUCCUUCACAAUGCCGCCCAGUUGGGACCGAGGACCGCGCUUCGGCUAGGAUGCUGCNAU